GUCCACGCCGUAAACGUUGGGCGCUAGGUGUGGGGACCAUUCCACGGUUUCUGUGCCGUAGCUAACGCAUUAAGCGCCCCGCCUGGGGAGUACGGCCGCAAGGCUAAAACUCAAAGGAAUUGACGGGGGCCCGCACAAGCGGCGGAGCAUGUGGAUUAAUUCGAUGCAACGCGAAGAACCUUACCUGGGUUUGACAUGCACCAGGCGCGUCUAGAGAUAGGCGUUCCCUUGUGGUUGGUGUGCAGGUGGUGCAUGGCUGUCGU
Molecule: ribosomal RNA, 263 nt
Filed under: uncultured bacterium
Lineage: Bacteria
Description: partial 16S ribosomal RNA
Rfam family: Bacterial small subunit ribosomal RNA
Source: RNAcentral